RNAcentral lists this ribosomal RNA (253 nucleotides) under uncultured bacterium. RNAcentral describes it as "partial 16S ribosomal RNA". It matches the Rfam family "Bacterial small subunit ribosomal RNA", at positions 524 to 776 of the family's 1533-position model. The record is from RNAcentral.
UACAGAGGGUGCAAGCGUUGUUCGGAAUCAUUGGGCGUAAAGCGCACGUAGGCGGCUGUGUAAGUCGGAUGUGAAAGCCCUGGGCUCAACCCAGGAAGUGCAUCCGAUACUGCACGGCUUGAGUCUCGGAGAGGGUGGUGGAAUUCCUGGUGUAGAGGUGAAAUUCGUAGAUAUCAGGAGGAACACCGGUGGCGAAGGCGACCACCUGGACGAAGACUGACGCUGAGGUGCGAAAGCGUGGGGAGCAAACAGG